UAAGGCACAGGUCUGAUGGACCUGCCUUCAUCCCCGCGACAGAUGUGCCCAGGACGGCUAUCGAUCUUAGUUAAACGGGGAGCCCUGCUGCCACGUGUAGUUGGAUGCAGCUCUCUGUGUCAUUUCCGACCUGGAUUCCAGUCCUGAGUCGUUGGCUUGCAGGAACUUAAUUUUCAAGGCAGGCAAUAUUAUUGGCAGGGCGUGCCUACCUAGCCUUAGUGAUUAACGAGUUCAGCCCCACCAAGUCCAUUUCCUGGUGCCGUCUCUAUUGCAUUUCUGGUCAUCACUUGUCUCCUCAGUGGUUGUUGUCACUGAUGGCUUUGUGGACUUGAAUGGUCGGCAUAUGUUUCCUAGCUAUGGCUGGUAGCCUAAGCUUGUUUUCCCCGUGUGACAGUAGUUUGCUGCCUAGAGAGAUGAAUUUAUCAAGUAUCUCUACAACUUGUCUACUUGAAUUUCUUCCACCUAUAACAAGAUCUUAGUUUUCACUUGAGAAGUGUAUUGUUCAUAACUGUAUGUUUUCUGAUGAAGACUCUUAGACAUUAUUCACACACCGGCUGCAAAGGGGGCAUAAUCUGCAUUACCCACAGUGAAAACAUCAACCAAAACUUUACUGGUGUUUGCAAGCAUAUGUCUCAAUAUGAAGCUAUCUCAUGGCUUAACAGAUGUGCAGCUAGGAAGCAUGCCUCUCUCUGUCCAGACCUUAGAUGAUACCAAGAGAAUGAUUCUCCAGUUGUACCCUGAUCCUGAACCUUCUUAUGGAUCUUGAAUUAGACCUAAGGGGCUAUUAGAUGGCAGUGCCUCAUCAAGACUUGCAUAGCAUGUUGCAGCUGUGAGACUCAAUGGCCACUUUGAGUCCAAGAAUGGGAGCUGUCAAAGGGAGAUGCAUUUGAAAUGACUCUCGGGUGAAGGACAGGGACUGCAUGUUCACUGAAGGUCACUCUGCAGUGAAAGUAAUUCUAUGCAACAGGACACAGUUUUGGUCUGAGGAGCUGGAUCAGUUCCAGUGCAUUAAGAUCAGUGUUGUUGAAAGAUAUCUGUGAUAGACCAGUGGUAUACUGACAGAUACCUGUGGGAAUAAACACCCUAAGGGUGUCUGCAUGGUGGCACCUUGUACUCAUGGAAGUAUGACAUUGGCUGCAGCAUCACCUUCCAGAAAAGAGCACAGUCUGGGACAUACCUGUUCACAGGAAGUAAAGUACUUACUGCUGGUUUGCAAGGAGCAGCAUAACAAGGUCUCAUUUGGAAACUUUAAUUCAACUCAAGAAGAUCUAGUAAUUUUUCUAAGUGAGGCAAUCUAUGAAGAUCAUGCCUGCAAAGAACUGUGAAGGCAAGCAGCUAGGCUCCCUUUAUUGAAUGUGCGAAGAGCAUGAAAUAUAUCUCUUGUAUUUACAGUUAUAGAAAUAAAGUUAUAUUCUAGAAAUAUAACUUAGAUUGUUAUCAUAGCAAUAAAGUAGGUCUGUGAGUUAUUUGCAGUCUGCAAUUUUUCCUGGUCAGAUUUGUAGUUGGCCUCAAGUAAUUUCUUUGUGUUGCUUGGGAAAUUGAAUUCCCUUCCCCCUCUGUAGCUUGGUGGCUGAGUACAAAUACAACUGCUUCGAUGUUUUAAGAGCAUCGAGUGACUGUUUUUUUCCAGGCUAGAAGACAUAUUGCUGAGAAGUUCCACUGACUAAAUGUCUGUUCUCUCAAACAGACAUUGGAAAGCAUGUUUGUAAUUUCAUACUCUGUUUUGUUAGAUAUAUACAAAUGCAAAACUAAAACCAAACAAAAAUCCGUUCCCUAAAGAGAAUAAGUGUACACAAUCUGUAGAGAAAACUGUUUCCAAGCAAUACAGACACUAAAUGGUAUUCUUAAGUUUUCUUUUUAAUAUCAUUUUACUCCGAUAGCUCUAAUUAGCAAAGGCAAAAAUAAAUACCUGAAGCAUUUUUCUUUGCAUUGGAAAUAUGAAAGAGAAACAGCAGCAAGAGGUCUCAUCUCCAAAAAGGAUACCUGUGACGGUGGGCACUGUAUUGCUGUGGAAUAAAGACGGCCUCCAGAGAAAAUUAAGGCUUAAAUACAUGAUGGAAUACAGUGGGCAUGCAAGCAGCAUUGUUUCACUGAAGGCAAUUGUAUAUGGACUAAUAGUUAAUUAUAGUAUAGUAGAUAUUAAUGAGAAGGAUUCUAUUUUAAGCUUUCUUUAAAUUAAUUAUAAUAGAAUCAUGGGUUUAAAUAAGACUUCCUUUUAAAGGUAUAUUAAAAAAAACCCAACUGUAUGAAAACCAUUGUAAAAAGUUAUAGACUUCAGUGGAAAACAACUGACUAUAUGCAUUACAUGUUUUGGUUGUGGAUCACAACGACUGUGUUAGUAGUCAAAACUGCAGUUGUAACCAUCAUUAAAUGCAAAGCACAGAAAAAUUGACACAGCGAAGAGCCAAAGCGGCGUCAUUGUGACACUGGUUUUUGGGUUUGUUUGGGUUUUAUUUCUUUUUUCUGUCUAUGUACAACCAGGGACUAAAUUUGCAAACUUUUGGGAGGAGACAAAAAUGGAGACUCCAGGAAGGAGGCUCAAAUACAGUCAACUUUUUUUUUCUUCCAAAGAAGCUAUUCCUGAAAGGAAAUAGGCUGAAAUUCUUUACACUUUCUUUCACCCCAUUUUUAAGCAAAACUAAACAGAACCUUUUUAGCUGGAUUUCACUGUAUUUAAAAGUUGAUUCCUCUGCUAUUAAACAAGGAAUUAAUAUGUUUUUUCUUGAACUAACUGAAAAAUGAUUUUGCUAGAAAUGCUUAAAAUUGGGCAUGUUCAUAGUCCUCUAAGGAACGUGUACUCUGCCAAGUCUGAAAACACUUGGAACAGAAAAAAGGUCUGAGUGCAUACAGUGCUACAUCUUGCAUACAGUGCUACAUUUUUUUUACUGAUUUAUGAACAAGACACCGAUGCUUAGCUUGUACAGUUUGUCUGAUUCAUGCAGUGAAAUAAACACAGCUGCAUUUAUUACAGUGAUUGUCUAAUCACAUAUUUGGUACCCACAAACUUCUGGGAAUAUUCAGAGAGCAGUAUGUGCUAAAAAUCCUAAUUUCAUUUACUUUCUCUAAUAUCAGUCUCAUUUUAUAUUUAAUAUAAGUUUUUGUUUAUGUAAGUUAGACAUUUUAGUAGUAAUGAUUCUGCAACAACAGUAAUUCAGAUAAUUUGCACCACCUGUAAAAAGUGACAUUGUCAUUGCACAGGUCAUAGAAAAUACAAAGAUGCCAGUUGUCACAGGUAUUGCUUUCAGCUUCCUAAUUUGGAGCUGUAUAGAUCCUCAGCUGUUACUCUAUGUAGUGUAGACUUUACUACUCAAUGUAAUUUCUAGAUAGCCAUAAUACUGUCAGCCUUUCAAAUCAUUAUUUUGGAAUUUGAAAAUAUUUUCCCAUACUUUUUUUAUUAGCAAUAUGCCAGUUUUUGAGACUGACUGUGUAUAUAAACAAAACCACUGAGUUUUGCAGCAUCAACACACUGGAUCUCAUCACAACCAAGGUAGACGAAAUUAUGCAGAGGAAAAUAAACAAGGUAGCCAGAGACCUUUAAUGAUCUACCACAGUUGCAAAUUCUCCCCAGAUGAAUAUUUUUAAAAGUCAGCUUAAAGCCAAAAGCAUUUUUUUUCUGGUAUCCUAUAAAUAUCCAAAACAUGGAUAGUAUACUAUAUAUAUUUAGAAAAUAUUUUGUCAUUUUUUUUAAUCUGAAAAUGGAGGGGUGAGUUUAGGCAGUGGUGGGAUAUGUUGCAGAUUGCUGCACACACACCCACUAUAAUUUCUCUAGUGACUGGUUCAGCCGUGGUAGAGAUUCCAGUGACAAGCCAUGCUCACGGACAAGGAAGAGAACGGGGAAAUCUGCGCUGGUUGAUAGAUGGUUUAUCAUGCCCUGCGUUUUUUCAGUGACCAAACCCCGUGUUUUAUUUAUGAGGCAGGAGCUGCUGCAAUGUGUCAAAACUCAUUUGUGACUGACUGGCAUACCAUCUGUAUUCAUCAACUGAAACGUAAAACAGUGGCAUCUUUUUAAAAAAAUGUUAUAUAUAUAUAUAUAUAUAGUUUAAACAAGAACUUUGCUGUAGCUGUAGUGACUGGUGGUGGGAAGAUAAUACCUAAGGAGAAAUUCAAUUCUGCUUUAGUGACCAGCAUAGUCUGUGUGUUUGGCAUGCAAUUAAGAGGCUUCUGUCUGUUUGAUGUAUUGUUUGCUCUGAGUCCCAAGGCAUUCAUUUGAGAAGAUAAUCAGCCUUGUUAAAAGAAUACAAUUUCAAGUCUUGUUUGAUGAAAUUAUUUUUCAGACUGUUUUAGGGUUUUUGUUAUGAUAUUUAGUUAAUUAAUCAAAAUGUAAACUGUGCAAUUGCUUCAAAGGAGACCACGUAUAACACAAUCAGAGAAGACAUAAAUGUGUCUUGGAUAAAUAAAAAUUUUGUAAAUAAUUUACACAAGAUUUUAACAUGAUCGGUUGUCAUUAAAGCUAGGGACAGCAACAAAAGA
Molecule: long non-coding RNA, 4470 nt
Organism: Corapipo altera (White-ruffed manakin)
Lineage: Eukaryota; Metazoa; Chordata; Aves; Passeriformes; Pipridae
Exons: 3
Source: RefSeq, a predicted model, not a curated record